UCGUGCUUUUAUAAAGUGUAUUUUGUGAUAACUGAAAUGUUCCGGACGUGAAUACGAUAUUUAUUUAUGGACAGACAUUGGCGCAGAUGGACAGACCUGGCGGUGGUGAUCCGGCUGGACAUGACCAGCAAGGAUUCUCGCAGAACUGGCAGUUUCGCAGCACGAUCAAAUAUCUUAUGAUUCGCGAUAUGGCUUUCCGGGUGCCUAGGAAUCAAUGAUGAACUUGACCUUUUCCCAUGCCCGCGGUGUCAACAAAGACAUGGACGUUAUUGUGGUGGAUUCAUGCCCCAAAUCUUCCGGAUCACGAUAUGAACCGGGCACCAAGCCUUCAAAGAGCAGACGGUUGAGAGAUAGCGUGUAAUCGUUCCAAUGUCAGCCAGCGUUUAGAACAGGCGAUACGAAACAAAGAACUAUUCAUUACAUUCAACGCAGAUAAGAAUCGCUACUUCCGCCAAGACGGUAUCGAUGUACACACCGAUGGAAACAUUUUCCCCUCACAAACGGUCGUCGAUGGUACAGAAGGUGCAGGGCGUCUACGAAGAUCAGACAAUCCAGGUGGUGCCGGUCACAUCUUCGCGCACCCGUCAAGGGCCUUUCACGGGUCAACAGCGUUAGCUAUUGUGUUCACGUGAAAACCCAGAUCCCAAGUCUCAACCAAGCUAAGCAACAAGCACAAAGUAAUGAUAAAGGCGUACGCAGAAUUGGAAGAAGAUGGUCCCGGUCAAAUCGUUCCUUGGUGACGAAGAAAGUGAAUUGAUCGAGAACGAAAUCACUCAGUGCCCGAAUGAUGAUGAAUUUAUCGUCUACCAAC
Molecule: long non-coding RNA, 811 nt
Organism: Armigeres subalbatus
Lineage: Eukaryota; Metazoa; Arthropoda; Insecta; Diptera; Culicidae
Exons: 4
Source: RefSeq, a predicted model, not a curated record